Molecule: transfer RNA, 90 nt
Filed under: Rickettsiales bacterium
Lineage: Bacteria; Pseudomonadati; Pseudomonadota; Alphaproteobacteria; Rickettsiales
Description: tRNA-Ser
Rfam family: tRNA
About the family: Transfer RNA (tRNA) molecules are approximately 80 nucleotides in length. Their secondary structure includes four short double-helical elements and three loops (D, anti-codon, and T loops).
Source: RNAcentral
GGACAGGUGGCAGAGUGGUUUAUCGCGCCCGCUUGGAAAGCGUGUGUGCUCGCAAGGGCACCGGGGGUUCGAAUCCCCCCCUGUCCGCCA